CCAGCCCCCACCCGGCCGCGGGGAGGCUGCGCCCCUUAAAGGCGACGCGCCCGCGCACCCCCAUCUUCUCUGCCUGGGCUGCGCGGCGGGCGGGGGAGGCCUGGGGAGGGGGGCGGACGCUGUCGGUGGGCGCGCCCACCUUCCUCGCGCGGGCAUCACCACCUGGCCCGGGAGGGGGCGGCCGGCGGCCUCUUAAAGAGACAGCAGUGCCGGGUGGUGGGCGAUGACCCCAGCCGGGAACGAGCUCCGGGAUGCGUCCCCGGGAGCUUCUGGGUCCGCGAAUGGAUGGCUAGGACGCAGGCAGAACGAUGCUGUGCAGCGUCUGCUCUGCCAACCCCUCUGCACUUCCCUCUCCAGAGCCGGGUGGGGGCGGGGAGGGAGGGCGUCUCCGUCGAGUCGGGGCGUUCACGCCCGCUCCUGCCUUCGGCCUGUCGUGGGGCUAGCGCGGACCCCGGUAAUCCCCUGGCGGGCACGGACAGGCCCACUCCAGUGUGCAGACUGCCGUCGGUCCUGUGCCGUCCGGUACCUGGGUAGCCCUGGAGGAUGAAAUUUCCCUGUUGGGUCUUCGAGCAGUAUCCUGCUGGAGGGGAAAGGAGCCCAAGGCUGGAGACGAUAGAAGCGACUUCUGUUUCAAAGGAGGAAGGGGUUUUACCAUGGUGAAAAAAGCCAUCCUUUCACCGGGCGCUACCCAGCCCUUCUCACCUCUGAGUCCUGUUUUUGGCAUCUUGGGUCACUCUGCCAUUUGAGACAUUUGAUAUUUAAGUGACGUUCGUGGCUGAGCUCAGCUGGCAGUGUUGAAAAAAAUGACUGAGGUGGUGGUGGCUACAGUGUACACUUUUGGAACAAAACUUAAGGUUUCAAAUGUGGAACCCUAGGCCUUCAUUGACCCCCAAGUUCCAACUUAGGCUCUUAGACUUAUUUCCAAGGCAGUGGGAAUCUGUUUCAGUUACAUUGAGUGAAGAAGUGACAGGAGCUAACACUAAUACACACAGGCUGUCAUGUGGCCAGUAGCAGAUACACAAUGGAUGGGAGAUUGCAAGGGUUUCUCUGUAGCUCUGGAGCCUUUGUCAUGGAUCCUUGGCCUGGCUUCUGCUAUACCAUUGAUGGGCUGUCACUGGGACUCUUCCUGGAUAUACUGUUGUUGUUCUGUGUCAUGGAGAUCCCAUAGCUUUGGAUCCAAAGAUCCAGCCUCUUUACAUAUUCCAGCAGUUCAUAGAUGAGGUG
This 1224-nucleotide long non-coding RNA is filed under the name Cricetulus griseus (Chinese hamster). Its description in RNAcentral is "lncRNA (ENSCGRG00015033682.1)". Lineage: Eukaryota; Metazoa; Chordata; Mammalia; Rodentia; Cricetidae. The record is from RNAcentral.